UGGAAACCGAUUUAUUACCAGU
This 22-nucleotide small nuclear RNA is filed under the name Arabidopsis thaliana (thale cress). RNAcentral's name for it is "snRNA_04099". The record is from RNAcentral. Lineage: Eukaryota; Viridiplantae; Streptophyta; Magnoliopsida; Brassicales; Brassicaceae.